UAACAAAGAUGGAAGAAAAAAAAGAAAUCCUCUUGGGUCUGUGAUGAUCAUUUCAUCUUUCACCCUCACCUGCUUCUCUGAGUCCUUGUACAACCGGAUCUUCCCCAAAGUCCUCCAAGGUUCUCACAUGCAAAUCUGAAACAAACAUACCAACCUGAACUAGAUCUCAAAGCCAGGAACCUGAUCGAGAAAUCUAAGUGGCCACUGUGAGCCAGCAUCUAGCCUGAUCCACUCACUUCUGGCCACAAUAGCCACACGGUCUCCUGUCAAAUAAACAUGGCUUUAAGGCAUUCCUCAUGAAUGGCUGUGGAGGUCACAGAGGGACAGGAUAAUGGUGGUAUAACAAGAUUCUCACAAAGUGCACAGAGCAACCUAUAGUUCCGGCAGGGCUAUAUUUCUCUAUAGAAUGCUUAGCUCAGUCAAGAGUCAUCAGGGCAUACCUACAAGUGGGCUCCAAAUUCAUCCCACUGCUCUGCAUGGUAACAGAUUAUCACCCACUCCCUCACAUUCGUUAUGGGUCUUUGGUUUCUCUUCGGCUGCCUUUUUUCUUCCCUCUCUGGAAGCAGAUGUGCCCUGUGAAAAUGAGGUUUGAUACAGCAUUGUCUUUGGUUUGUCUCCAGAUGUGGCCAAUUUAACGUCUCAGUCAUAGGAUGGCAAACAAAUGCAUUCCAGGGAGGAAUUAAGUGAUGGCAUUUAAGUCUUAAUUGCUGCUUAGAAUGAUAUCCUUUUUUAAUACUUGAUUCAAGUAAAUGGACUCAUAGUUCUCCAAGUUUAACUUAAAAGAGCUGUGGAGCUAACAAGACAAUAAUUAGCCUCUAUAGCAUUUCGUGAAAUGAAAAUAAAUGUAGUUGUGCAGCCUUUUUACAUUCGAAAAGUGUGACUACUAGAUAUUUAGUCCUAGCAUAGUUUAUAUCUUCUCUCCCACAUAACUACCGAUGUGCAAAAUCUCUUUCUUAACGAAACAUGAAAACCCUGAACACAUCUGUCAUGCUGGAUCCCCCACAACCACACAGCAAAAGAAUCUUGAAUUAGUGAAGCACAAAAUUAGCCUGGUUUUUCUUUGUGAGCUCUGGUGCCUGGGUAGCUCCUUUCAAAUCGUAAUUCCAUUUAUUUAAAGGGGGUGCUUGCAGGAGUUUCUACUGUGCCAUGUAAAAUUUUGUAAGUCCAUGCUAAAGGGCUUGUCUGAAGAGAAUCCGUGCUCCCUGAAGAUGCAAAGAGCUGCUGGCUGCAGGAAGUAAAAGCAAAGACUGCAGCUUGGAAAAAAUCCUAAAGGCGGGCAGGUACUGAAUGAAGUGGCUGCGAUGGUUCUGCAUGUGAAGCACUAGCCCUGUGCUGACUUUUCCUCCAUUCAUCCAUCCACCCAUCCACCCAUCCCUCUCUCUAUCCAGCCAUAUAUCUGUACGUCCAUCUAUCCAUUUGUCCCCAUUCUCAUAUAUCUUCCCAUCUAUCCAUUCACCCACCCAUCCAUACAUCCAUACAUUUAACCCUCCUCCCACCCUCUCACACAUUUAUCCACUUAUCCUCCCAUCCAUCCACCACCCAUCCAUUCUUCCAUUCAGCUACACAACUUUCCAUCCAAACAUCCUUCCAUCCAGACAUCCUCUAACCUAACCACCAUCCAUCCGUCUGUCUGCCCAUCAACCCAUCUAUGCUGUACUCAGAGUCUAACACUAUUAUAGUUCUGACCAAUCAGCAAAAAACAAGGAUCAGAGGUGAUAAUGCCAAGAAACCUAUACCUAAAGGCUCUCUGUCAGUCAUUUUAAUAGGACAUGAAGUAGUGGCUUAUUAGAAAGCUAUUCAGGGUUUGUUUGAGUAAUUUGAAAUAGAUAUAGUAUGGGAAAGCUGCUAAGCCUGGUCCAGCAGUUGCCUAAAUAGGCUCUUUGGACAAGGACUAUAAGAAAGAAGAAACAAAACAAAACAACAAACAAACAAACAAAAACAAGCAAUCAAACCAAGGAAACAAGGAAAGGAACGAGCGUCAUGGAAAGCACAGCUACCUAAAGAAGGAUACAGAGAUGGACUUCAUAAAGCCAUGCCAUCCUCAUGUUCCAAUACCUUCUAGAAUCUUUAUUUUCUACCUUUUUAAAAUAAUGCCUAGCAACAAUUAUUUGAAACAUCCAGACUUCCAUUGUGUUCUAUAGUCUUUUGUGACCUCAUACAGUACAGGCUGGGCUGCAGUUCAAUGUAGCUAAAGAUGACUUUGAACUCAGCCCUUGUGACUCCACCUCCAAAGAGCUGAGAUUCAGAUGGCGUAGAUCCAGGAGAAUACAAGCUACUUUUGCUAGGAAGAAUCUCCUAGUUGUAAGCUGAGUCACUGGAAACAUCUUUGUCCACAGAACAUAGGAGACCACAGUGUUCUGAAGCAUUUGGAAAUUUUGUGUCCAGGUGAAGGGAUCUGUCUCCUGGAGCAUACCUCAGCAGAAAGAAAAAAAAAUCUUCACAGUUUUAUCAACCUACCAUGCUGACUAGGUGAUGGCUUGUCAAGGCAAGUUUAAAACCCAGCUAAAAGUUCCCUGAAGUGAGAGGUGGAAUCUCACUUUCAGAUCUCAAAUCCAGUGAAAUUUGACAAAUCCCCAAAGCAGGAGAAGUGUUGCUCUCUGACUCUCUAAGAGAACAGCCCAAGCAGCUACACUGUUUCUGGAUGUUACUAGGGCUGCUGAGUCAUGGAACCUUGAGACAAUUCAGAAGAAAUCACCCUUUUCUAUGCCUGUUAGGAUGGAGAAGCUACCCAGAGGUGCUUUAGUAAAUAGCCCAUGCUGAUGUCUCCUCACCCAUUCUAGCCCAGCAUUUAGAUGCAUGAGCUAAAAAUCUAUCCCGCAAUGGGAUCCCAUAGCGCAGUCCCAGGCCAGUCCUGCAGCAAUCCCUGAGGAGAAGCUGGAAUUCAGACCAUACAAUAGAGAAAAGAGGUCCUCAUGUUUCCACCUGAGCUCCUGAGUCCCCCAAAUUGACAAGCACUGUGAACUGAUUGUUCUAUGCCACUACAAUAAACAAUGCUCCAUGAUAAAUAAUGAUUUUCUAUAUACUUCAAUUAAUUAAGACUAUCUGCUGAAAGUGACUCACCACCUAUAGUGUGGAACUCUCUCGAAGGCCCUGGGUUCUAGGCCCAGCAUAGCCCUAAAGAAACACCUGACUGGAAGAAAACCUUACCAACUGAGUUUCUACUCCCUUCUGUGUACCAGAGUUGUAGGUAGGAACAAGAGUCCCAGCAACCCCAGGAAGGUUAGUAGCCAGAAGAGUCUCUUCCUUCCUGUAUUAAUCGCUAGGUUUAUAGCUGCAAUCAAAUGUCAGAUAAGACACAGUCUCAAGGAGGAAGUUUCAUUUUGCCUCCAUCACAGCAGGGAAGGCAUGGCAUCAAGGAACAGGAGGUCGUUGUUUCAUAGCACCUCUGCAGUCAGAAAGCUUUAAAUACUCAGGAAGUGGGUGUGGACUAUAAAGUCUCAAUGCCUCUCUCCAUUUCCAUGACCUUUUUCUUCCUGCGAGGCUCCACCUCCUAAAGGUUCAGCAAUCAUUCUAAAUGGCCCUUCUAUCUGGGGAUCAAGUCCCCAAGCAUGAGAGUCUAUUGGGGAACAUUUUACAUUGAAACCACAACAAAGCAUAUGAUCUACAUUUGAUCUGCAGACCUUUGGAAAUGCAUAAGGAACCUGCAUAAGACACCAGGCUCCUUGCUUUUAAAUUCAUAGAAAUUAAUUUGCCUUUGACCCCAUAGACUUACCAGAUUAAAAGAGUUGGAAAACCAGGAGGACAAUCAAUAAAAGAAUUGCUAUGGGUUUCUGUUUCACAGUGGAACCAUUUUCAUCUUAUGUUUUAUCCACUGAGAUACUGAAAUGAGUAUUUCCACAGAAUCAACUUGAGAAUUUAUAGGCUAGUCCUAUGGUUAUAACAGAAACGAAAUAGGGAAAUGGAUCUGCCAUCCGAUCUGAAGGCUAGAUUACAUACAAGGCACCACUCUGACCUCCCAUCCUAAAUAUUUGUAUGAACCACCACUCUCCUGUCUUCUCUAACAGUAAAUAAGAACAUAUUUCAGAACACGAGGUACAGUGGAUACACAAACACAGGCUUCCUGGUUUGUUACCUAGAGGCUUAUCGCCAUCCCAAGACUAUCCCUCAUGUACCACCCGGAAUAGCAUCAGGUUCCAAGGAUGAGGAAAAUGAGUAAUAGUUCUUGCCAUCUUCAGAAUAUUUUAUGACAUUAUUCACUAAGAACAGAUAUCCGGGGUUCUCUGAUUGGAUGGCAUUUGAGGGAAAGAUAAAGGUCUUGGGAUGGUCUCAGCAAGGUGGUAGUUAUUUUUUAAACCCCUCUGGAUAUGGCAGAGGCACACUCUAACCAAAAAAAAAAAUGGAGAAUACACUUGCAUAACCAGUUGUUAAACUGACUGGUUAUGGCUAUGUCAGACACUAAUUUAUUGUAUUUUCCUCUUUGAAGAGUAGGAAAUCCUCACUUUUUCUCUCCACAGCAUGAUAGCAACCAUAUAGAAACAUGAGGAUCAUAACACAAAACCAAAAUUAUUUGCUAUUUCUACACUCAGACUACUUCAUCAGAAGGAAGAUGGUCUUGAAUAUAGGUUGGCAUUCUAAAAAUGUCCUCCCCUACAAGGGAAGAUCCUCUCUAAGAUACAGGUUUAUAUGUCUGGGAUAACUACUGGGUAAAUUAUUCUUAAUAACAUAACUAGUUAUUAAUCCUUGGUUCUAUAUCUGAAUCGAUAACUCUCACACCAUAUUCCCCAGAAUUCCCUCUAACAAGGAUCCAGAUUUCUACAUCCUCAACUUAUUAAGAAGAAAUUAAAUUUGUUUAAUCUUCUGCCUUCCUGAAAGAAUAAAAUUUUAUAUGAGACUGCAAGACAAAGGAAGAAAGGCAAUGGUUGUUCACAUGAGAAUUCAUUUAUGUGACGAAACAACAGCAAGACUGUGAGAGAAAAGGCCAUAGAUAUAAGACGUACUAGGGACCCACUUUUCUCACAUUCCCAUGCAGACAUCUCCAUUUGAUCACAGCACCAUUUCAUCUACCUGCUGGGGCCCCACCUUUCCGACAUAGAAUGCAGACAUCACCAAUCUAUCACACCAUUUCUUUUACACACAUACCAGGCCCUAUAAUCUUCUUCCUGGUACAAUCCUACAAAGGGAGGGUUUCUAUGCACAUGUUGAUAGGUAUAAGUAUAUAAAUUAACAUAAGUAUUAUAAAAAUAGAGUUGCCUUAAAACAUAUAACUAGAAGUAGACUUUAUGUCUUUAAAUCCCAGUAUGAAGUAAGUAUUCAGAGUAUAUUGAGAUGUUCUUACAAUCACAUGCUAGAGUGACAUCUGUCCCCUCUGCCCCCAGUAAACUAUAGCAUUUUUAUGAUAGCCAAGACAGAGAAGAAACCAAUUCAUUAAUGCAUAUAGAAGAAGUAUGGAGUUUAGACAGACAACAGAAUACUAUCCUACCAUAAAAGGCUAAAAUCCUUCAUUUCUAGAAACUUGGCUGAGCCUAGAGGGCAUUAUGUUCAGUAAUGACAGAAAAGGCUCAGUAAAGGAGCCAGACACAGAAAGACAAGUACCUUAUGCCAUUCUUUAUCUGUACAAUCUAAAAUGGUUUAUCUCAUAGAAAAUGAAAGUUGAACAAAAGUUAACAUAAGCUAAGGAGAGAAAAGAAGGAGGAGGUAGAGAGAGAGAGGUUAGUUAAUAGGUAUACAUUUGCCAUUCAACAGUAAUUUUAAGCUCAAAUAUUCUACCACAUAACAGGAUGAUCACAGCUAAUUUUAACAUAGAUGGAAGAGAAAUCUUGAGUGAUCAUACCCUGAGGAAAUAACUAAUGUUUAUGAAGAUGAAUAUUAUGGUUGGAUCAUGAUACAGUGUAUGCUUAGCUAGGAACGCAUGUUAUACUUUAUGAACAAAUAUCUUGUGUUAAUUUAAAGGAAAGCUUGGGCCAGUAAGAUGGGUCAGCGGUUGAAACUAUUUGCUGUCAAGCUUAAAGACCUUAGGUCAACCUCUUGGACCCAAAAGCGUUCUCAAAAAGUUGAUUUUUUAAAAAAAUGUAUGUCAAAGAUAUUAAAAGAACAAAAAGCAAAAUGCAGAGUCAGCCAGAUGGGAGCUUGAAGUAGAAAGAUCCUUGAUCAGGGCUUCACAGCUCUUGAGCCAUAAGGUAGAAUUUGCUCCAUUCUGAUGUGAUGGCUUCCUAGACAGAUGACUGUAUUUACCACAGCCUUCACCUUCUAUUGAGUUCAUCUUCAGCUUUUUAAUGUGAGGUUGGUGGUAAAAAUCUCUGAACUAUUCAAGGCGAAUCUUGUCUGUCAUCCCCAGACACCUCUCCAGAUACGUUUAGACAACGAUCUUAUCUUCGCUUCCUCUUCCUUUGAACGUGAGCAAUGCUGUCAAGUCUAUCAGAUUGUAGUAGAAUAACAAGAAUUUCUAAGGAGGGGUACAGGAAGGAGUCCCGGCAAGGAUGAAAAGCCUGCCUCUUCAGCAAAGAGAGAACCUGAAUGAAAUACUUGGAUGUUGCUGCUUCUGGCUCCAUCGUCUAUCCUGAAGUGGGGUGAUAAGUGAAAUUACCAGAGUCUAAAUUUAGAGCAGAUCAAAAUAAUUCCUUUACCAUACCAUGUACCCUGCUACUAUAGGUUAUUAUUGAGGCAAAUUGAGAUAACCAUUUGGGAAAGGAUCGGGGACUUAUAUGAAUAAGAACAGCUUGUGCAGGUCACAGCAGGGAUCACAAUUACGUGGCCAAUUAGUUCCCCAGUAGGGACAGAGUGCCAGCAAGCACAAGCUGGGGUCAGAGAGCAAGCUGCCCACAGAGUAAAACAGUGGCACCUAAUUUUCUUCACAUGUGGUAUCUGUGUCAAAUUUUCCUUCCAUAACUCCUCAAAGGGUCUGAGGGGCAUACAGUUCAUCUGGUGUGGUGUGAAUCACUUUAGGACUGACUUGUGGCUCUGGGUCAGAAGUGGAAACAGCCUCAGAGAAAUUAAUAAAACAAUUCAGUGCCCCAAAUCCUCCAAAUAGAUUCUCAAGCAUGGUGUCACAGAAAGGACAGUGUACAUCUGUCUACAGAGCAGCAAUUGUGGCCCUGUUUCAUAUCAGCUUGGUGGUUUUGAAGAAGUCACCUGCCUUAGCCAUCAUCAAUUCUCUCUUACAGGAGCAAACAACAUUAUGCUAUCCUAGCCUACAUAUUACUGUAGACCCUGGGGCUCCACGGCAGAGGAAAGUGGCUCACACCCCGCACCUGGUGUUUGUAGACAGCAAACAGUCACCUGGAGGAGACUAGACUCCCAUGCAUUAACUUUGGAAUCCAGGAAUCUUCAGCAGUGGCAAUUACCUUUAAUUGGAUGAUACCAGCCACAGUGGGACCACCCAUAUCAACCAUCAAUCAAUACAGUGCUCCACUUUCCCACAGACUCUAACACAGAGGGGUCAGGCCAGAGAGCUCCUGAGAUUCUUUCAAAUCCUACCAUUCAUGUACAGAGGCAAAGGUAACCAUUACCUUCAAUACUGAAAUCUUUCCACAAGACCCUGAAGCUUAGAGUAUAUCCACAGUCUUUGCAGUUGCACUAGAAAUGAUAUGGUGUCCAGUGAUGUGCCCAACUGCAGAGCAACCCUGUGCACCUUCUACAAGUUGGAGACUGGACUCCUUCCUCUAUGCUGGUCCAAGAUCUGGAAUGUGACAACUGUUAAGGUGUCCCAGGUCAACCUUGGCAUGCUAAGGAAGGAGCUUGUCCUGGAAGAUGACUGCUUGGGAGGAACGCAUCCGAGUGAUGUCCCUCUGUCUAGUGCAUCGUGUCUGCCAGUGGGAUGUUGUUUGCAAUAGACCAUCACGUACCAAGUCAGCUUUGUCAUUGUCCAUUCACCCCUCUAGCAGAGGCUGCUAGAAGCUGGCUUCUAUUCUGCUGCUUUGACAUUGCCAGAUCACCUGCAACUAAGGGACCAAAUCUUUCUCAGGACAGAAAUAACAAUAGAAAUACUUAUGCUUCUGAAGCCAACCAUGUCCUCAAACCCAUUAUGUUUCUUCUUGAUACUUGUCUCACUUGGACCAUUCAAUCUGAAAGGUGGGUAAACUUUCUAUGUGUAUAAUUAUAACCCAAACUUCCUAAUUUGUAUCAUAGAAUCUUAUGUUGGACAACUAAGGCAGCUUAUCUAACUUGAGUAUCUGGUCCAUGAUAUUUGAUAGUCUUCAUAUGGGACCCAGAAAAGUAUUUACUAAGAAAGUUAGUCGUCUGGAGUUCAGCUGUGGACCCCGACCCCCUUGGUUCUAGGCUCAGGGUUACUUGUCAUUCCAUGUGUAACUUUGAAGCCAACACUUAAAUCUCAAUUUCUCUCUCUGUCAAAUUAGCAUGUCAACCUUAGUCCCACAGAUCAGCAGAGCUCCUGAUUCAUUUUAAAGGUUUGAAAUGUAUUAACUGCUAAUAUAGGGGACUAUAAAAGAGAAAGUAAGUCCUUGAUUUUGAAAAUUGGGAAUGAAGCCAGGAAAGGAGAAAGUAUUGAUCUAGCGGCUGGCUCACCUGAGGACCCCACCACAGCCUUCCACCUCUCAAAUCCAAAAUCUUUGUAAUUUUUUAUACAUGAAGCAUAUAAAACUUUGAAGCCUAAAGUAUCAAUCUUUUUUUUACCCCUUCAUUCUUCCUCAGGGUCCUUUAAAAUGUUGUUAGCUAUGAGAUUACAGUUUCAUAAAGAUCAUUACUACUGGCUUCAUUGCCAGUGAAAUUUUUCUCUGUAAGGGGGUGGCUUCAUUUGAGGUGGAGAAUGGGAAGUCUAUUCAAGAAGCAGAAAGAGGGAGAAAAUCAAGAGGAGACCAUGAUGAAUAAUUUUAGACAUGGAAUCACGCUUGCAAACUCCAGAACUCUAGGGAAGGAAAUAAACUUGUUACAAGACAUAGCUGUUUGCUGGGAGUAAAAUCAGGAUUUUAUUCCCUUAAUCCAGAGGCUUCUGAGCCUUCUGUUGCUAAGAUUCAUUGAAAAUGCAAAUUGAGAAGAAAACAAAAUCAUUUUUAUUUGCCAAAAUAUUUUUCACCUCACCAAAGAUAAACUGUUGCCAGAUACAGAAACCAGGUUGAACAAAUUUCCUUCUUAAAGACCAAAGGGCCAGGGCCAGAUGAACCUGCUGGUGUCCUCUGACUAAAAGUCACAACUCUUUAGAGGACUGCCAUUAGCAGUUAGGAAGGGUCUCAACCACCAAUUAUUGUUCUGCACCUCUGCAUCCUUUGUGCUCUUCUUCUAUCUCAGGCAUCCACUUCACCCCUUCCCAGACACUCAUCCUUAGCCAAAGCUUCCAGCAAAGGGGACAUCCAAGACCAGACAGAGCCCUAUAUUUAUGCACUACCCUUAAGAUCCUAAUCUUCUUAUUGCGGCAUCAGUAACUCCACUGUGAGGGGCUUGGCAUUAGAGGCUUCAUGUAUGUACUUGUGUCUCCUGAAGUGCAGAAAGUAGGCUACACAUGAAAGAUUCCUAGGACUUCAAAACUCAUAGGGCUUAAACAAGUCUGUUGAUAGAAAAAGGGAGAAUCCAUACAACAUCAUUGAUGGGAGAUACCACACUGGAGUUUUCUCACUGAGCACAGACACAGACACAGACACAGACACAGACACACACACACACACACACACACACACACACACACGCAUACAUACACACAUGUGCACACACAUGGCAUCUAAUUUAAGGUUUCUAUUGUGGAUAAAUGCAUGACUAUGACUACUCUUAUAAAAGAAAACAUUUGGGUUGGGGAUUUAGCUCAGCGGUAGAGCGCUUGCCUAGCAAGUGCAAGGCCCUGGGUUCGGUUCCCAGCUCCGAAAAAAGAAAAAAGAAAAAGAAAAAAAAGAAAACAUUUAAUUGAGGCUUGUUUAAAGGUUCAGUGGUUUAGUUCAUUAUCAUUAUGGCAGGAAGCAUGGAAGGAUGCAGGCAGACAUAGUGCUGGAGCAGGAGCAGAGAGUUCUACAUCUGCAGGCAGCAGGAACAGAGAGUGCUACUGGACCUGGCUUGAUCUUCAGAAACCUCCAAACCCACCCCCUAGUGACACACUUCUUCCAACAAGGCCAAACCUCUUAAUAUUGCUACUCCCUUUGGCCUAUGGGACCAUUUUUAUUCAAAUGAAUAGACACACACACACACUAGUUUAGAAAGACAAAAUUUAGGUAAAAGUAUAACUAAAAUAAGCUUCUGUAAAUGCACUCUUUCUAGGUGAGAUUGUGGGGAAAUGCUUUUUCUCCUAUCUUCCGGCACACUCUGUGGAGACCUAUGGUUUCACAGAAUUUGUGAGCUAUUAGGAUCUGACUGUCUCCAUAAUAAAGCUUGAUUUGGGAACCUCUUGCUCAGCUGUGAAUGUGGACAAGCUCUCUCUCUUCUACUAUCAUGUGGGCACUUUGACCCAGGAGAAGCCACUGAAUGGAAUGGAAAUGUUAUGUAGAGAAGAACUAGACUCAGUCAGAUAAGAAACACAACUGAAGUUCAAAAUAUCUGGUGCAAACCUGGCUUUGUCCAGAGUUAAGCAGGAGGACUUAAAGUUGGAAACUGUAGCAAAAAAAAAGAGCUGAAGACUCACACUCUGAGCAGGAUUGCAGUGUAAGGUGCAGAACGAGGCGAAGUUUUACAUCAAUAAAAUGAAAAGAUGUGAAUUUGAGAUUUUACUCUGAAAGCGAUUUCCUGCCAGCAUCUGGGGACUUUACUUUCCUUCUCCCAAAUCUCUUACCAAUACCUGGAAGAGUGAGCAGAGAGUCUCCCUGACUGCCUUUUUCUGAGAAAAGCCCACAUUCCCACCAAAGACAUGUUAUUCCAUGAGAUGAUAAUCCAAUCCCACUGUGAACACCCUUCUCAAUGUUCUGACCCAUUGAGGGAGGGAAACACACUUUCUCUCUCUCUCUCUCUCUCUCUCUCUCUCUCUCUCUCUCUCUCUCUCUCUCUCUGUCACCUAGGCCAAGCCUUCUUCAAUUCUCUGCCCACAUUGGAGGUUUUAGAGCCUCAAGUUUGGAAGAACCCAGUGAUUCAUGUGUGACUCAGCCCACAGGCCAAUCACGAAGUGAGCAUGGUUUGCUGGUGACAUGAGCAGUUGUUUAAAGUCAGAAUAGUUUCAAAUUUUCUGUUCUUUUCUCAUCUAACCUUCCUUCUAAAGGGGCUAUAAACUAUUCUGGCUGAAGCUGCUUCCUUUUUAUCAAGGCUCUAGCAGAUGAAAGGCAAAGAGCAGACACGGGGACAAUGGACUUUGAGCAGCUCUGUUCUUUCUCUCUGCAAAAGAAAAGAAAUUUUAGCCCAAAGAUGAUCCAAAAGGCCAUGCCAGGCCAGCCUCUUUGUGCCUUGUGUUUAUAAUAUAAGACUUUCUUGGGAAACUCUGCUCAACAAAAAGUGCUGUGGAUGUCACAUACCCAUGUACCCAAACCACAUAGAUAACUUUACAUUUUCUAGUAACCACGUUACAAAGAAAUAAGAGAAGCCUUUAUGUAAUUCACUAACCCCAUCAUAUAGCAUUUCAAAAGGAUAUUUUGAAAUAUUUUUAGAAUUGUUUGUGAAGGAUUUUGCCUUCUUCUGUCUUCUUGCCUGCGUUUGUGUGUGCAGCACAGCCAUUGUAUAUGUGUGUACAUGUGUGGAGUUCAGCUGUCUUUUUUUUUUUUCCGGAGCUGAGGACCAAACCCAGGGCCUUGCACUUGCUAGGCAAGCGCUCUACCACUGAGCUAAAUCCCCAACCCCCAGCUGUCUUCUAUGAGGAGCUGUCCACCUUGAUUUUGAAACAGUAUCCCUCACUGGUCUGGAAGUUACCAAAGAAGAUAUGCCAGCUGUCCAUUGAGCCCUAGGGAUCUGCCUAGGGCUCAAGCUCUGGGAUUACAAGCACAUACCACAAUGCCUGGCAUUUUUAAUGUGAGUUCGAAAGAAUAAGGUCAUUGUGCCUGCAAAGCAAGCACUCACAGUCUGUGCCGUCUCUGGGUCCUAUGUAAUUUCUUCUAAUCUACAAUAUCAACAUCUAUUUUAUAUUGAUGAUAUAUUCCAAUUGAGAUCUUCUGUCACUCAAAUGGACAGGUGAGUAUGUGGCCACUACACUAGACCAGCAAGCUCUAGACCUGGGCUGCACCUGCUUGUUCAGAAUAUGAAAUAUUAGCAAGUCAUAGAGAGGCUUUUGCUGGCAAUAAUAAAAUAUUAAUAGAGUUGUAUAUCAGUAAGUGUUUUCUGUGUUGGAGAUGAAAAGCAUAUAUUUAUAAAGCUUUUAUGAUUCUUUUAAGUGUUUGGAGGGUGAAAAUGAAAUAAGAUAAGAGGAAGAUAUUAGAGCAUAUGAAAGAGAUGGAUGUUGCCAAUGAAAAUAUCCUGAGUAAUUUAUAACCUAAUAGAGAAGAUGGAUGUUUUCAAAGGCUUUACCUCUCAAUGAGAAACAAUAUGUAUAGAAAUACCAACAUGAAAGGAAACAGCUGGUACAUUCUACAGAAAUUAGAGACGACUUUCUCCCUCUAAGGUAGUAAAAUAUUGUAAAGAAUGUUUAUUGUAGGCAUGGCUCAGGGGGAGGGAUAGAACCUGAAUUCUGCUUUAAUCUCCUUCCUGACCUGUAAUAACACACUCUACCCCAAAGUAACUUAGGGAAGGAAGAGGUCACAGCCCAUCACUGAUUGGAGUCAGGAUGGGAAGUCAGGGCAGGAAAAUGAAGGUUUGCUGUGCCAGGCAGUAUUAUCUCUGGCCAGGGACCUCGCCCACAGCCAAGGAAACAGGGAAGAACUGUAGAUGCUGCUGUUUUCUGCCUUAAUCUCAGACUUAUUCUCAGCUAGCUCUCAUAGGCAGACCAAUGACAUUUACCUAGGGAAUAGUACUUACCACAGUGGGUUGAGCCCUCCUACAUCAAUUAACAAGACAAUUAUCUCCCACAAGCCAACCUGACCUGGGCUUCCUCACUUGAGACUUUUCCUUUCCAGUUACUCUAAGCAGUAUGAAGCUGUCAAUUGAUGUUAGCCAGGACACACUCCAAUAAAUUACUAGAAAUAUAAAAGAGGAUACCACAGUCAUGAGACAUAUAUAUCUCAUAUCAUUAAAAGGGAUAUUCCUCAUUCUAGCUACUUUAAUUCCUUAUCUUGGGGAAAUUGCUCCGGAUGGUUGUAAAAGUGAGCAUAAAGACACCGACACAAGAGUGCUGAAGACUUGGAGUCGACCCAAAUACCCACUAAGAGGCAGGAAUGAAAGGAACAAUGAUCCCAUCUGGAUGUCCAGAGCAGUGUUGUGAAGCCAUUUAAUUGCAAAUGGAAUUUUCCUUUAUUACACACAUGCACCUAGUUCACGAAAAUGUUAAUGUUGAGGGGCAAUACAGAUCUAACACCAUUGAAAGCACCCACCUAGGUUUGGGGAGGUUACUCAGUGGCUAAAGUACUUCUUACACAAGAAGAGGACCUGUGUUUGACCUCCAACACCAUUGUAAUGAGCUAGGUAGGAUAACACAUAACUGCCUUCCUGACUCUGGGAAGAAGGACACAGGAGGAUAUUGAGCUGCAAGGUUCAUGGAAGACCAUGUCUUUAAGGAUAAUGUGGGUAGUGUUUGAGGAAGACAACAAAUGUCAAGUUUUAGUCUCUGAAUUUCCAGGUGCCUGUGCACACACAAACAUGCACACAGAGCAAGAAUGAACCUCACAUGCAAAAACGGAGCAUUUAUAGAACUUAUUCUCAUUUUACUUUUUGGAAAACAUUAUUUUAAUGGGAAGCACAUGGUGUUUAAUUAACAAUUAGAAUAAGUAAUACAUUUCUUUACAUUUCGAUUACAAUGGAAACAGAAACAUAAGGAUUCCCAAAGGGUUACUAUGGAGAGGGAGAUUUCCUUCUAGGGCGAACAUUACAAAGAAAAUACAAGGGAUUCAUUCUUCAGUCAAACUUAUUCUAUUUUCCUCUGACUUUGUCAUCUGGACAAAGACUUCAUUUCAAGCCUUCAACUUUCUCUCUCUCUCUCUCUCUCUCUCUCUCUCUCUCUCUCUCUCUUUUUUGGUUCACUUGGAAUUUAGAAGAAACACACAUACACACACACACACACACGAGAGAGAGAGAGAGAGAGAGAGAGAGAGAGAGAGAGAGAGAGAGAGAGAGAGAGAGAGAGAGGGAGGAGACCUGUAAACUGAUUUCCUAUCUGGCAGGUUUAUAGAUUACAACCAUCACCCAGGGAUGGUGCGAGUUUACCUGACAAGUGUGAAGGCCAAAAAGCUCAAGGGGCAAAAGGGAAGUGGUGAGCUGGGAAAAUGUGCAACAGCAAAGCUAUUAAAACAUCAAAUCAGCUCAGCAAAAGGUCAGCCAAGAGCAUGUCACAUAAAGAACAGAACACAGAAUGCACCUUUCCGUGGCGAGCAUGGCAUAGUUAUAUUCCGGCUCUCAGAGAAAGAUACACUGUGAUUCACAGGCCUCUGAGUAUUCCCUCCCCAUAAACCUGCAUAAUGAAACCUCACCCCUUAGUCAUGGUUAAACUAAAUAGCUAAACCAUAGCCAUAAUGCUAUGGCAUUAAGAUGUAGGGUGUAUAAAGAGAUGGGGUUUGUCAACUUCAGACAUUGUAACAAAACAUCUGAGACAAUGAUCUCAUGAAAAAAACUGACUUGCUUGGUCUUCAGUCCAAGAUCAGGUGUACAAAGUUUUGGAAUUUGGCAGGGAUAGCGUGGCAUGUUGUAAAUAUACCACUGAUGAAAAUACUUGUCUUAUGAAUCAGAAAGCAAACAACAGAAGACAGGAAGAAACUGGCAUCAUAUAAUAUCCUUCCAGGGUAAACCCCAAUGACUUAAGGUGGUCCCAUCAAGUUUGUUUCAUAAGACUUAACCCCUUUACACCUGGUAUCACCACCCUGGGUGCCAAGCCUCAGAGCAAAGGUGAUAGGGAUGGAUACCUUAUAAAAUUCACCCAGGCAAAUCUGUGUCCUCUGUUGACAAAUCUGGAGCACCUUGAACUUUCCAACACAUUUUUGACAUUUAUAAGAAACCAACUUUGUCGUGAUUUUGUUAUUGCAGCAAACAGACACUAAGACAGUGAAUUUUUUUACAUCCUCACAUAUCCCCCUAUCUCUUCCCCUCUUUCUUCCCUUCUCACUUUCUAUAGCAAGCAUGUCCCCCUACACAUGAUCAUAUAGUUUCACGCUCAGGCUGCAACCAUAGUUACCUCUUCCCUGUCUCCCUCUGGGUCCAUUUAAAGUGCCAAGCCCCUUCCUCCAUAUUGUCAAGUGAUCUGGAGCAUUUUCUAGGAAGCCAGCCCACCGCCCCUACAUAUUCCAUCUGCUUUUUUGUUUUGUUUUGUUUUGUUUUAACUCCCUUAAUUUCCAAUGUGAUUGUACAUUUUCAGUUCUCCUUGGAAUAUUUCACAGGAUGCCUUAGAGAUAAGGACUCGAAGAACCACCUGGAGCUCAUAAAGAUACCCAGGGACUGGGUGCCAGGUGCCUCCUGUUAGUAAGUCUUUCUCACUUUCCCCUUCUUCCCUCUGGCCCUGCUCCUCUUGCUUCAUUCAUUUUUUUUCUCCUUCUUUGUCACUGCAGAGUCAGGAUCUGCAAGCAGGCUAUACCUGGGAACUCUUGUCUGACUUUCCGAGGAGGACAUGAACACCCAAACAGGGAUCAGGCAUCAACUGCAAAACAGAGCAAGGACCCCACAGGAGCCUAGCUCACUGAAUUAAUGGGUUUACUGGAGGGAUUUCUAAGAACAUGGGUGUCUUAAAGGCACCAACACCACCAAAGAAGCAGCCACUCCAAUGUGGGUGAUGCCUUGCAAAUGUUGUAGCCUGCCAGCCAUGCAGAGAUCUCUGUUAUUGAAUAUCAAGCAACUGCUUACUGAUUUUACAUAUGGAGGUGGAGGUUGGUAUGGAUCUUGUAAGCUUCUGCAUUUCCUAAAUCUACUACGUUGUACCUUUGUAAAUUUAUUUAUAUUCUGAGUCUUAUGAGUUUCCCCUUGCUCCUGAGGUUUGAGAUUAAUAGUGAUGUUUCAAUAUAGAAGCUGAGUGCUGGUGCUCCUGUGAAGUUUACUCUUAUCUCCUAAGGUAAAGUCAUACUGAACUUAUUUACUUUUCCAUUUGAUACUUCUAUACACCUUCAAUGUGCUUUCUAAUUUUCAUGUCCCACAUCUUGCCUUCAUAUCUUUUUAAUGCUUUAUAUAUUUAAUAUACAUUUAUAUAUGAUAUAAAUCUAUGCAUAUGUCUGCAAUGUUGGUGCAUUGUGUGUAUGCUUGUGCUUUCAGGGUCAAGAAGAGAAGAGUAUUCAAUUCCCUACAACUGUAUUUAAGGGUGAUUGUGGGACACCAUGUGAAUGUUAUGAAUUGGGUCUUCCAUAGAAGCACUAAGUGUUCCAUACCACAGAGGCACCUUUCUGCUCUUCUUGUUUUCGGGUUGUAAAAUUGAGCCUCAAGAUAGUUUUUAAAUAUUUGUUUUUAAUUAUUUAUAUGCGCUGCUUAGACCUAUCCAUCUGCAUGUGGGUGCCAAACAAGGGCAUCAGGUAUCCUCCACACACUCUCUACCUUUGAGGCAGUGUCUCUCUCUCUAAACCUUGACUAGACUGCAAACCAGCAAAGUCAAGGAUCUACCUAGCUUUACCCUGUUGAGCUGCCAUUCCACACGCUUGCAAGUUUACUUUUUUUCUAUGUUGGUACUGGAAUCUGAAGUCUGGUCCUCAUGAUUGUGGGGCGAGCUCUUUUAAUCUCUGAGCCGUCUCUUUAGCCCUGAGAUGCUAGCUCUAUGCGUGAGGUUUCCCUUCUGUCCUUUGCAUUUUCCUGAUGGACUGUCAACACAUAUUAGAUCCAUAAAAAAGCAUCUGCAUCUUUCAUUUGGCCACCGUGAGUUACAGUGCUUGUGUGUUCUUCUCUGGAUAAACUGUUUGCACGUAAGUCUGUUCCUAGAGGAGGGACCAUGGUGCUUAAUGAUGCUUUGAUUGUGGAAUCUGUGUGCAUACUGAGGGACAACUUGCUUUCCAGCUAUACAUGCAUAAUCCAGGAAGCAAAGAACACUGGAUAGAGAAGGAGAUCUAU
This is a non-coding RNA of Rattus norvegicus (Norway rat), 16890 nucleotides long. NCBI's taxonomy places the organism in Eukaryota, Metazoa, Chordata, Mammalia, Rodentia, Muridae. The record is from RefSeq and is a predicted model, not a curated record.